Molecule: ribosomal RNA, 465 nt
Filed under: uncultured bacterium
Lineage: Bacteria
Description: partial 16S ribosomal RNA
Rfam family: Bacterial small subunit ribosomal RNA
Source: RNAcentral
GACGAACGCUGGCGGCGUGCUUAACACAUGCAAGUCGAACGGAAAGGCCCUGCUUGCAGGGUACUCGAGUGGCGAACGGGUGAGUAACACGUGGGUGAUCUGCCCUGCACUUCGGGAUAAGCCUGGGAAACUGGGUCUAAUACCGGCUAGGAGCCAUUUUUAGUGUGAUGGUUGGAAAGUUUUUUCGGUGUAGGAUGAGCUCGCGGCCUAUCAGCUUGUUGGUGGGGUAAUGGCCUACCAAGGCGGCGACGGGUAGCCGGCCUGAGAGGGUGGACGGCCACAUUGGGACUGAGAUACGGCCCAGACUCCUACGGGAGGCAGCAGUGGGGAAUAUUGCACAAGGGGCGCAAGCCUGAUGCAGCGACGCCGCGUGGGGGAUGACGGCCUUCGGGUUGUAAACUCCUUUCGCUAGGGACGAAGCUUUUUGUGACGGUACCUAGAUAAGAAGCACCGGCUAACUACGUG